Molecule: long non-coding RNA, 491 nt
Filed under: Brassica rapa (field mustard)
Lineage: Eukaryota; Viridiplantae; Streptophyta; Magnoliopsida; Brassicales; Brassicaceae
Description: long non-coding RNA (BRAP_LNC005598)
Source: RNAcentral
AUAAAACCGCUAUUCUCUAGAAAAACGGAGACCACAAAGGUUCCAAUCCUCUUUGACCUUCAUCAUAUGUUAGUGAAAGAUGCAACUAUGCAUUAAAAUAGAAUUUUCGUUUUUUAAAUUUUUCUCAAUAUCUAUGGGUUUUGAUUUUCGGUAAAUACUCUAUAUACUGAAGCCUAUGAUUUUUAGUGUAGUUUUAAAAAAUUUAAACACAUUUAAAUAGGUAUGUACGAAUAAAACACCUAGUAUUUUAGUAUUAGACAAUAAUUUCAAAACUAAUACAUGUAUAGCGAAGGCAGGAAAAUAAAAAAUAAAAAAAACACUGAUUAGUUCAAAUUAUAUCUCAAUAUAAAUACAGAAAACUAAUACUGAACAUUCAGCUGUUAUAUCUGAAUUAGAGUUAAUUAAAAGAAACUUCUAACAUAAAAAAAAAAUUACCCAACACCAUAUAGUUUCACAUACAUACACCAUAUAGUAUAUAGUUUCAUACACAC